GCUUGCGUCCCGUCCUUGAUACUUGUGGUUGCACCCCUUUGCGCUGUAAGAAUUUUCACGUCAAGUAUGCACCAACUCGCCCAGAAAAAAGUUUUAAUGAAGCACCUUUCUUGUUCAGUGGGCCCUUCCUUCUGUGUUCUUCCCUCUUCUCGCAUCACUGACCUUUUACUGACCCACAUGCUGAACGCUACAUGCCGGGCAAGACGCUACGCCUUCUGUAUCCGCAAGGGCCUCGUCCCAGAUGAAGUAAGUGCUCUCUUUGGCCCUGUAAAACCGUCGUGGGGACACGUUAAAAGACUGUGCAGAUUAAUGCGGUCAGAACUGCGCCGGCAAGUUCGUCUUUUUCAAGACUGGCGUCGAUUGGUUUGCUACGUUGACCACCCCGGAUGGCUCGCCGCAAAAAAAGCAAAAAAGCUAAAAAAGCGCUGAUGAAAGCAGCUGCUCAACUCACGGAGUACCAUUGGAGGUGCCUUCUGAACCUGUUGCUGCCUUGUUUAGAGGGGUCCAAGAUAUGGAUUGGAGCCUGGUGUCUCAGCCCAUGAGCCGAUUGCAACGAACGGGAAAUUGGCCAUGAAAGCAAGAAAUGAAGAGGACCCGGACCGCUGCCUUCUUGAGGGUGUAGAAUGUCUGCGGAAGUGCUCACCAAACGUUCUUGAUGUGCAGAAUCAUACAAAUGUGUUAAAUGGUGUGGUUUCUUUGUUUAAAAGAAAUAACCUUAUGCUUGCUCAAGCAGACAAAGAGACUGGGUUUGUUGUUCUACCAAAGGGAAUGUAGAGUGAAAAAGAGCAAGUGGCCAUCAAUAAGAAUUUUGAGCCUGUUAAGAAGAGCGCCGUUAGGGUCAAGACCAAGUUAACUUCUGCAGGGAAUUAAAUCUCGACAAACUUGCGAGGCAUAUUGCUAAUAGCAGAGGUAGUAGCCUAAACGCAUUUUUUACAGCCAACACCCACAAACCAGAUAAUCCAUUCCGCACUAUCGUUAGUGAAUAAGAUUCGUGGCAAAUAAACGUUAGUCGAUUUCUGCAAAAGCAUCUCAAAACGCUUGCUUUAGAUGAUCCGUUCCUAUCAAAAGAAUCUACGGAUGUCGCGCUGUUUCUUGAUAGCACAGAUAACAUUGGCGUUGGUUUUUCCG
This is a non-coding RNA of Dermacentor albipictus, 1128 nucleotides long. The record is from RefSeq and is a predicted model, not a curated record. Lineage: Eukaryota; Metazoa; Arthropoda; Arachnida; Ixodida; Ixodidae.